This 77-nucleotide transfer RNA is filed under the name Klenkia terrae. RNAcentral describes it as "partial tRNA-Histidine (GTG)". It matches the Rfam family "tRNA". From Rfam's summary of the family: Transfer RNA (tRNA) molecules are approximately 80 nucleotides in length. Their secondary structure includes four short double-helical elements and three loops (D, anti-codon, and T loops). Lineage: Bacteria; Bacillati; Actinomycetota; Actinomycetes; Geodermatophilales; Geodermatophilaceae. The record is from RNAcentral.
GGUGGGUGUAGCUCAGCUGGUAGAGCGCCAGGUUGUGAUCCUGGAUGUCGCGGGUUCAAGUCCCGUCACUCACCCCA